Molecule: small nucleolar RNA, 109 nt
Organism: Dioscorea cayenensis subsp. rotundata (Guinea yam)
Lineage: Eukaryota; Viridiplantae; Streptophyta; Magnoliopsida; Dioscoreales; Dioscoreaceae
Source: RefSeq, a predicted model, not a curated record
AAUCCAUGUUGAGGGCACUUUCUCAAGAGUUCCUUGAACCUUUCCCCACGUCUGAAAUACUGCACUACAAUUCCAGCUCUAUAAAGGAUGAGAUCUCAUUUCUAAGCUU